RNAcentral lists this ribosomal RNA (270 nucleotides) under Rhizonema sp. 'cyanobiont of Cora sp.'. RNAcentral's name for it is "partial 16S ribosomal RNA". It matches the Rfam family "Bacterial small subunit ribosomal RNA", at positions 28 to 327 of the family's 1533-position model. The record is from RNAcentral. Lineage: Bacteria; Bacillati; Cyanobacteriota; Cyanophyceae; Nostocales; Rhizonemataceae.
GAUGAACGCUGGCGGUAUGCUUAACACAUGCAAGUCGAACGGUCUUUUCGGAGAUAGUGGCGGACGGGUGAGUAACGCGUGAGAAUCUAGCUCUAGGUUUGGGACAACCACUGGAAACGGUGGCUAAUACCGGAUAUGCCGAAAGGUGAAGGGUUAACUGCCUGGAGAUGAGCUCGCGUCUGAUUAGCUAGUUGGUAGGGUAAAAGCUUACCAAGGCGACGAUCAGUAGCUGGUCUGAGAGGACGAUCAGCCACACUGGGACUGAGACAC